GCCUGGGUAGCUCAGUUGGUUAAGCAUCCAACUUUGGCUCAGGUCAUGAUCUCGUGGUUUGUGGGUUCAAGUCCCACAUCGGGCU
Molecule: transfer RNA, 85 nt
Filed under: Felis catus (domestic cat)
Lineage: Eukaryota; Metazoa; Chordata; Mammalia; Carnivora; Felidae
Rfam family: tRNA
About the family: Transfer RNA (tRNA) molecules are approximately 80 nucleotides in length.
Source: Rfam by way of RNAcentral